CAACGAAAAAGGCAAACCAACUGAAAAGUUGGGACGCAAAGCUAAGGGCCUGUAAAAUGGCAGCCGGCUACCGAA
Molecule: non-coding RNA, 75 nt
Filed under: Acetobacterium wieringae
Lineage: Bacteria; Bacillati; Bacillota; Clostridia; Eubacteriales; Eubacteriaceae
Description: c-di-GMP-I
Rfam family: c-di-GMP-I-GGC riboswitch aptamer
Source: RNAcentral